UGGGGGAUAUUGCACAAUGGAGGAAACUCUGAUGCAGCAACGCCGCGUGAGGGAAGAAGGUUUUCGGAUUGUAAACCUCUGUUUUUAGUGAAGAAUAGAAUGACGGUAGCUAAAGAGGAAGCCACGGCUAACUAUGUGCCAGCAGCCGCGGUAAUACGUAGGUGGCAAGCGUUAUCCGGAUUUACUGGGUGUAAAGGGUGUGUAGGCGGGUCUGCAAGUCAGAUGUGAAAACUAUGGGCUCAACUCAUAGCUUGCAUUUGAAACUGUGGAUCUUGAGUGUCGGAGAGGUAAAUGGAAUUCCCGGUGUAGAGGUGAAAUUCGUAGAUAUCGGGAGGAACACCAGUGGCGAAGGCGGUUUACUGGACGAUUACUGACGCUGAGACACGAAAGUGUGGGGAGCGAAACAGGAUUAGAUACCCUGGUAGU
RNAcentral lists this ribosomal RNA (426 nucleotides) under uncultured Clostridium sp. RNAcentral's name for it is "bacterial SSU rRNA". It matches the Rfam family "Bacterial small subunit ribosomal RNA", at positions 355 to 794 of the family's 1533-position model. The record is from RNAcentral. Lineage: Bacteria; Bacillati; Bacillota; Clostridia; Eubacteriales; Clostridiaceae.